This 325-nucleotide ribosomal RNA is filed under the name uncultured bacterium. RNAcentral's name for it is "bacterial SSU rRNA". It matches the Rfam family "Bacterial small subunit ribosomal RNA", at positions 28 to 334 of the family's 1533-position model. The record is from RNAcentral.
GACGAACGCUGGCGGCGUGCCUAAUACAUGCAAGUCGAACGCUUCUUUUCCACCGGAGCUUGCUCCACCGGAAAAGAGGAGUGGCGAACGGGUGAGUAACACGUGGGUAACCUGCCCAUCAGAAGGGGAUAACACUUGGAAACAGGUGCUAAUACCGUAUAACAAUCGAAACCGCAUGGUUUGAUUUGAAAGGCGCUUUCGGGUGUCGCUGAUGGAUGGACCCGCGGUGCAUUAGCUAGUUGGUGAGGUAACGGCUCACCAAGGCGACGAUGCAUAGCCGACCUGAGAGGGUGAUCGGCCACAUUGGGACUGAGACACGGCCCAA